Molecule: ribosomal RNA, 405 nt
Filed under: Amblyomma geayi
Lineage: Eukaryota; Metazoa; Arthropoda; Arachnida; Ixodida; Ixodidae
Description: partial large subunit ribosomal RNA
Rfam family: Archaeal large subunit ribosomal RNA (bases 282-405)
Source: RNAcentral
AGUAUUUUGACUAUACAAAGGUAUUGAAAUAAGAUUUUAAUUGAAUGCUAAGAGAAUGGAAUUACAAAAAAUGACUUUUUUAAAUUCAAAAAUUGAAUUUAUUUUUAUUUGUGAAGAAACAAUAAUUAACAUUAAAGACAAGAAGACCCUAAGAAUUUUAAAAGAAUUUUAUAUUUGAUUAAUUUUAAAUUCUUUUUAAUUGGGGCGAUUAAAAAAUAUUAAAAACUUUUUUCAAUUAAAAUGAACCGUUACUAACGGUUAGAUGAUAAAAAUACUCUAGGGAUAACAGCGUAAUAAUUUUUGAUAGUUCUUAUAGACAAAAUAGUUUGCGACCUCGAUGUUGGAUUAGGAUACUUUUUUAAUGAAGAAGUUAAAAAAAGGAGUUUGUUCAACUUUUAAAAUCCU